AUACGAAGGGUGCAAGCGUUAAUCGGAAUUACUGGGCGUAAAGCGCGUGUAGGUGGUUUUGUAAGUUGGAGGUGAAAGCCCCGGGCUCAACCUGGGAAUUGCCUCCAAAACUGCAUGACUAGAGUACGGUAGAGGGUAGUGGAAUUUCCUGUGUAGCGGUGAAAUGCGUAGAUAUAGGAAGGAACACCAGUGGCGAAGGCGACUACCGGGACUGAUACUGACACUGGGGUGCGAAGGCGUGGGGAGCAAACGGGAUUAGAUCCCCGGGUAGUCCACGCCGUAAACGAUGUCAACUAGCCGUUGGGAUCCUUGAGAUCUUAGUGGCGCAGCUAACGCAUUAAGUUGACCGCCUGGGGAGUACGGCCGCAAGGUUAAAACUCAAAUGAAUUGACGGGG
Molecule: ribosomal RNA, 396 nt
Filed under: uncultured bacterium
Lineage: Bacteria
Description: partial 16S ribosomal RNA
Rfam family: Bacterial small subunit ribosomal RNA
Source: RNAcentral